UCAGGAAUUUUAAGGAUAAGGAAUUAAAGCAAUGACAUUUACUGGCAUCCUUACAAAGAUUACACAUGCUUUUCCCAUAAUAGUGAGUAACAGUGAGUGAUGUGCUAGAGAUUUAAGGAGGUUUUAUUCUGGACACUGUAUCAUUACGAAGCAUUCCCCGCAGACAUUAGGGAGGAGAGUGAUUAGAUAGGGAAAAGAUUGGUGUGUGAAUCAGCUGACAGAUCCUUUUGGAGGCUCUCUGGGCUCUUUGUUCUCUUAAGCUUUGCUUUAGUGUGUUGGUCUGAAUUUGGGAAAAUGCAUCUGAGGGAUCCCGGAGCCCAAUCCAAACAUCUGUCUGUUUCACCUCUGCGUCUCUUGAAAUGUGUUGGAAUGUGGAAUCUGAUCAAACUUGCUGCAAGUGUGGAAGAUACAGAAAGUUCAUACAUAAGAACUUGCCCCAGAGCAAAGGCCAGAGUCUCCUCUUUCACUCGAGCAGCUGUUUCACAACAGCACAUUGCAUAGUGCAAGAGAACCUGCAGUAAAACUAGCACAAAACCAUCCCACAGUCAUCUGAAUUCAGAAAGUGGCUUCAGAAUUAUACAAUGUCUUUAGGGAGGUCUUAAGAGUUUCCAAAUAUAAUUUUUUGAUUGUAUUCAAGAUCCCUUUCUCUGAUCUCCGAACACCUAAAUCACACCCAUAGAAUGUGUGAAGUAACAAAAGACUUAUGAGAAUACUUUUAUUAUGUAUUGAAAUGAUGAAUGAUGAUAUUCAUUUUGCAUAUUUACUAAUUAGAACAACAUACCAUUUGUGGUAAAAUAUUUGAGAUUCUUUGAAACAUACCUAAUGCAAUAUGUAGAACAGUAUUUUUGAAUAGUUUAUCUGCAGCUUCAGUGUUUUGAGUGGUUCACCUUCAAAAAGCCAAGGGUGUGAGGUGGUUUAAAUGGUAUUCAGGGCACUGAAUACCAGUUCCGAAUGGAAGGUGUUCUGAAUGGGUUGCAGGGUGUUGCUAGGGUGUGAAGUGGUUUGUAUGGUGUUCUGAAAAGUGUGUAGGGUGUGAGGUGGUUGUUAUGGUGUUCUGAAUAGUGUGUAGGGUGUGAGGUGGUGGUUAUGGUGUUCUGAAUAGUGUGUAGGGUGUGAGGUGGUUGGUAUGGUGUUCUGAAUAGUGUGUAGGGUGUGAGGUGGUUGGUAUGGUGUUCUGAAUAGUGUGUAGGGUGUGAGGUGUUUGGUGUGGUGUUCAGAAUGGUUUGUGGGGAGUUGCUAGGGUUUGAAAUGGUUGGUGUAGGUUCUGAAUAGUGUGUAGGGUGAGAGGUGGUUGGUAUGGUGUUCUGAAUAGUGUGUAGGGUGUGAGGUGUUUGGUGUGGUGUUCAGAAUGGUUUGUAAGAUGUUGUUAGGCUGUGAGUUGGUUGGUAAGGUGUUCUGAAUAGUGUGUAGGG
Molecule: long non-coding RNA, 1412 nt
Organism: Carassius auratus (goldfish)
Lineage: Eukaryota; Metazoa; Chordata; Actinopteri; Cypriniformes; Cyprinidae
Exons: 3
Source: RefSeq, a predicted model, not a curated record